AGCUGGAUUCUGGUUAACCUUGGGCAUGAGUUGAGCAAGACAUUCAAUUUUAUCAAGAACAGAAAAAAACAGCUAUGUCUACAAAGCUAUAUGUGAGGGGCUGUUACCAUUGGGGAUUGACUGGAGAGCAGAACAAUACACAGAGCAGAUUGAGUGUCUGAAGACAGAGUACCACGAAGUCAAAGCUUCUAACAGCACCUCUGGGAAUUCCCCAUUUUUCUGCCCUUUUUAUGAGGAAUUUGACUGGGUACUGUAGUGAGCACUGAGCCCACAGUGUUGCAUCACAAUCGGCUGAGCAGGGUUGGCACCCUUAUAACCCCCAAUCACAAGCACCGCUGGAGGACAACCCGCUGUUGGAUGAGGGCAAGAGGUGACCCUGGUGCUGAGGCUGGUAACUGAAGAGGUUUUGCUGCCAUUGCCUCUGCAGCACAUCCUACAGCCAUACUCAGAGGAGCUGUACGGGGAUGGCCCUGGGGAGCAGCCGACUGCAGAAGUGGUAUCAGAGCAAGUGCUGGAGCCGGAGCCUGUGAAAUGCACCCCUGUGGAGAGGCCCAGCAGAAAGCCUUUGCACCACUUACGUCACACUUAAGCUCUUUGCCUUCAUUUAAGUAAAACAGUAAGAUGCUAGCCCAAGGAGAAAAUCUGAAAAUGCAAAGUGGAUCCUACAGGCUGAAAAUCCAGACAGCAAAUAAAGAGAAUGCAAUGUGCUUAAUUCUAGGGGGUCUGACUCAGUAUUUUUGAAUGCCUGGGGUUGGCAAUAUUGUGAUUGGAUCAAUGGGAAUGGUGGGGACCUAAGCAGUAGGAUCAUGGACAAGCCACAACUACAGCCCAUUAGCCACAGCAAAAGCCACAU
Mauremys reevesii (Reeves's turtle) is the source of this 853-nucleotide long non-coding RNA. RefSeq lists it as uncharacterized. The record is from RefSeq and is a predicted model, not a curated record. NCBI's taxonomy places the organism in Eukaryota, Metazoa, Chordata, Testudines, Geoemydidae. The transcript has 3 exons.